This 1246-nucleotide long non-coding RNA is filed under the name Xyrichtys novacula (pearly razorfish). Lineage: Eukaryota; Metazoa; Chordata; Actinopteri; Labriformes; Labridae. The record is from RNAcentral.
GGCCAAUCUACACUCCAUGGCCAUUCAAAGUUGUACAAAUCAUAAUGCUGCACCCCAUGGUUUAGGUUCUAGGGGGCGCCAAAAAUAACCCAAAAAUCCACAUUCUUAAAAGUUUUAUAAAUUUUUUUUUUUGUCCUCACUGGCCUCCAAGUUUUCUAGGAUGAUGCAAUGUCCAGCCAUCAACACAUUUGUGAAGGAAUUUUUACUCCCCAAAAGAGCGCCCCCCCAUGGCAGGAAUAAAAAGUCCAUUUUUUCUUGUCCCCUAAGGUGAAAAUACACAUUGUUGAGUGUCACGCCUGUACGCUUUGUCGUAUUGACAAAAAAUUUGACACACACGUGUAUCUCAAUAAGAUCUACGAAAAAGUCAAUGGGCGCGUAUCUGUAAAAUGUACGGCUAAAGGGCUAUUUUGCAUUUUUUGCCGAUUCGCACACAUUGGAAUGUGGCUAACUCCUCCUAAGGCUUUCGUCCCACUGACACCAAAUUUGCUCAGGCCAAUCUACACCCCAUGGCCAUUCAAAGUUGUAAAAAUCAUGCCGCUGCACCCCAUGGUUUACGUUCUAGGGGGCGCCAAAGAUGACCCAAAUAUCCACAUUCUUAAAAGUCGUUUUGGCCACUGCAGGAGUACAGAGUACUGCAGGAUACACACACACAGACACACACACACACAGACACACACACACACACACACACACACACACACUCAGAGUCUGUUUUUUAGCACCUGCAAAAACAUGCUAUUUACAUAUUUGACAACAAUGCAGAGGCUUCCUUUUGCCCCUGAAAAAAAUCAAAUUUCUAACACAACUUGACUGCUCAUUUCUCCAAAAGACAACCAUGAAGCUCCAUCCAAACCUGAAGCAGGCAGUUGGUGCAUGUGUACAGUAACCUGAGGGGAGUGAGGUGACUGCUUCUGAGGAGAACAUGAGCAGUGAAGAUUCACCUUGGAGCGAGAACAGGGACGUGCACAUGAUUAUACGGGGGCAGGGGCUCAAGUUUUUUCCAGUCGUUUAUACAAUAUGGAAAUUAAUGUGAAAUUAAAAAACAAAGUAUUAAUAGAAAGGUAAUGACUGUCCUGUGUAGGUGACAGUGAUAUCCAAUAGGCUAGGCACUCACAAGGCUGGCUGUGGCAAGUGUAAGUGAAAGCAACACGCACUGGCAGGAAGAACAGCAAACGCCGAUGAAGGAAAAGGGUCUUUGCAGUGAUGGGCGUUACCAGAGAGGACGAUGGCCAGAGGACGCGAAUGG